AUUGAACGCUGGCGGCAGGCCUAACACAUGCAAGUCGAGCGGAUGAAGGGAGCUUGCUCCUGGAUUCAGCGGCGGACGGGUGAGUAAUGCCUAGGAAUCUGCCUGGUAGUGGGGGAUAACGUCCGUAAACGGGCGCUAAUACCGCAUACGUCCUGAGGGAGAAAGUGGGGGAUCUUCGGACCUCACGCUAUCAGAUGAUCCUAGGUCGGAUUAGCUAGUUGGUGGGGUAAAGGCCUACCAAGGCGACGAUCCGUAACUGGUCUGAGAGGAUGAUCAGUCACACUGGAACUGAGACACGGUCCAGACUCCUACGGGAGGCAGCAGUGGGGAAUAUUGGACAAUGGGCGAAAGCCUGAUCCAGCAAUGCAGCGUGUGUGAAGAAGGUCUUCGGAUUGUAAAGCACUUUAAGUUGGGAGGAAGGGCAGUAAGUGAAUACCUUGCUGUUUUGACGUUACCAACAGAAUAAGCACCGGCUAACUUCGUG
Molecule: ribosomal RNA, 484 nt
Filed under: uncultured bacterium
Lineage: Bacteria
Description: partial 16S ribosomal RNA
Rfam family: Bacterial small subunit ribosomal RNA
Source: RNAcentral